This 84-nucleotide ribosomal RNA is filed under the name Methylophaga sp. The record is from RNAcentral. Lineage: Bacteria; Pseudomonadati; Pseudomonadota; Gammaproteobacteria; Thiotrichales; Piscirickettsiaceae.
UUCCCAUCCCGAACACAGAAGUGAAACAGCUCAGCGCCGAUGAUAGUGUGGGAGUUCCCAUGUGAAAGUAGGUCACUGCCAGGC